GGGAUUUUAGUAAAAUGCAGAUUCUGAUUCAGCAGGUCUGGGCCGAGGCCUCAGAUUCUGCAUUUCUGACAAGUUC
Molecule: microRNA precursor, 76 nt
Filed under: Chlorocebus sabaeus (green monkey)
Lineage: Eukaryota; Metazoa; Chordata; Mammalia; Primates; Cercopithecidae
Description: miRNA (ENSCSAG00000020769.1)
Source: RNAcentral